UACAGAGGGUGCAAGCGUUGUUCGGAAUUAUUGGGCGUAAAGGGCGCGUAGGCGGCCUUGCAAGUGACGGGUGAAAUCCCUCGGCUUAACCGAGGAACUGCCUGUCAAACUGCGAGGCUUGAGACCGGGAGAGGUGAGUGGAAUUCCCAGUGUAGCGGUGAAAUGCGUAGAUAUUGGGAGGAACACCAGUGGCGAAGGCGGCUCACUGGACCGGUACUGACGCUGAUGCGCGAAAGCGUGGGGAGCAAACAGG
RNAcentral lists this ribosomal RNA (253 nucleotides) under uncultured bacterium. RNAcentral's name for it is "partial 16S ribosomal RNA". It matches the Rfam family "Bacterial small subunit ribosomal RNA", at positions 524 to 776 of the family's 1533-position model. The record is from RNAcentral.